UCUCACUUACUUUAGAUAACGUGUUGCAAUUCGAUUUUAUACAGCAAAACACUCAUUCUAAAGGAAUACUUUUUUUGUGAUUUAAAAAACGAUAACGGCUACAAAAAACACAACAAUUAGCUACUUAAAGACAAAGGUUAAUAAGUCUGCGUUUCUUUCUUUCAGUAUGUGUGUGUGUGUGUUUGUGUGUGUGUGUGUAUGCGUUUGUGUGGCCGCGCGCGCGCUCUCGUAAACGCCUCCUGUGUGCGCAUCAUCAACCUAUAGGAAAUKCCACCUUUACAUAGCCUACAGAAACAUAGCUACUGUAAGGUGCGGUAACACUUAACAUUAAUCAGAUCCUGCAAAUGAGAUCUAGUUAGUGUAACCUAAUCUCGAUCACAAUCUCUUGCAGUAUAGUUUAUUGAAGUUUAAAUAAACCCAGCUAAUUCUCAUCAUAAUCAUAGAUCUGAAUCCUAUUGUUUGACCGCUAGAGUUCUACUCUUUGUUUAUACAUUUCCUAGAUUUAUAUUAUUAUAUUUGACCAUUUUACAUGAUUAUUCAACUAACAAACGUUCUGUAUUUCCUAUUUUUUAACGCACUCUUUUCUAAAUAGUAUUUUUCAUGAUAUGUGAAAUUCGUAAUAGGUUACCGCUUGUACGUGCGCAUCAGUGUCCAUAAAAACGCAUUGCAAUCACCAUGACCUAAUUUAAAAGUAACAACAUGGAAAACGAAGCAAAGAGAAAAGUAAAGCAAAUGCAAAUCUACCUUUUACAUAUGUAUCAAUGUUAAAAAAAAUAAUACGCACGCUGGAACCAACAGCGUCGAAGCAUUGAGAAUGGCAGAGCAGGUCGUCUCAUUAUGCACAGGCGAUUUCCCAGGCAGAACCCUUGGUUUCUUCACUUCAUGUUUCCGAUCCGUACCGCUCACACACGCUCGGAGCUUCGUCACAAACAAACAAGGCAAUGUUCGCUUUCAAAACGGCAAUCAAAUACCCAAGAACCGGUGGGGGGAAUUACUCCCGCAGCGGCUAGAUGGGUUGGAGAAAUAUGGCCCUGAUUCCCCUGCUCAGGAGAGAGGCCAAAUGGACAUGUUUGUCUGGGUCUUUGCCUACCGCUGAACCAACAUGAGCUCAGGCGAGAGAGGAGUCAUCAGGAGCCAGACAGAGAGAACCAGGAUAACGGCUGACGUGUCCAUGUGUUAAGGAUGGCCCACAGAUCGCAGAGAUGGAGCAUCUAUCUGCGUGACCCUUUACUGUUGUCUCUAAUGGGGCUCGAGACAUGGACUUCGAUCACCACCUGAACAUCAACAUGCACAACCCUCAAGAUACAGUACGCUGAGAAGACAGAUACACAACUCUACUAUUUAUAAUCAGCAUGCAUACAUCUGUUCUAGAUACACAGAAACCACCAAAUAUACACUAACAUCCUUUGAAUCAAGUCAGUUUUUUGUAUCAUUGUGAUUUAAAUCUGUAAGUUGCAAAACUGUUUACCAUAUGUCUACUCACUGGGAUGUAAAAGUACAACAUUAUUUAUUCUGAAUUGUAAAAGUCUGUAUUGGUAUAUUGGAUUUUGAAUGAACCUGUCCUUAGAAUACAUAACAUCUGAAGGGAACCUGCAGCGCACAUUGUCUUUAUCUGACAUUGACUGAAUUUAUAGAAAAAGUAAACAUCAAAGGGAAUAUUUUUAUACUUUCUCAAUCACUGUAUUUUCUCAAUGAACUGAAUAAAAUAUAUUCAAGAAUA
Molecule: long non-coding RNA, 1720 nt
Organism: Salvelinus sp. IW2-2015
Lineage: Eukaryota; Metazoa; Chordata; Actinopteri; Salmoniformes; Salmonidae
Source: RefSeq, a predicted model, not a curated record